AAGUCGAACGCGAACGUUUCCUUCGGGAAACUAGUAGAGUGGCGCACGGGUGAGUAACGCGUAAGUAACCUGUCCUCGCAUCUGGGAUAACACAGCGAAAGCUGCGCUAAUACCGGAUACGUCUAAAUCAAUUCUAUUUUUUAUAGAGAAAGGUGGCCUCUGAUUCAAGCUACUGUGCGGGGAGGGGCUUGCGUACCAUUAGCUAGUUGGUAGGGUAACGGCCUACCAAGGCCAUGAUGGUUAGCGGGUCUGAGAGGAUGAUCCGCCACACUGGAACUGGAACACGGACCAGACUCCUACGGGAGGCAGCAGUGAGGAAUAUUGCGCAAUGGGGGCAACCCUGACGCAGCGACGCCGCGUGGAUGAUGAAGGCCUUCGGGUUGUAAAAUCCUGUCAGAUGGGAAGAAGUGCAUCAUGUCUAAUAUAUGUGAUGUUUGACGGUACCAUCAAAGGAAGCACCGGCUAACUCCGUGCCAGCAGCCGCGGUAAUACGGAGGGUGCAAGCGUUGUUCGGAAUUACUGGGCGUAAAGCGCGCGUAGGCGGCUAAACAAGUCAGUUGUGAAAGCCCACGGCUCAACCGUGGAAGUGCAUUUGAAACUGUUUAGCUUGAGUACUGGAGGGGGUAGUGGAAUUCCCGGUGUAGAGGUGAAAUUCGUAGAUAU
RNAcentral lists this ribosomal RNA (663 nucleotides) under uncultured bacterium. RNAcentral's name for it is "bacterial SSU rRNA". It matches the Rfam family "Bacterial small subunit ribosomal RNA", at positions 59 to 697 of the family's 1533-position model. The record is from RNAcentral.